CAGCAGCCGCGGGAAUACGGAGGAUCCAAGCGUUAUCCGGAAUCAUUGGGUUUAAAGGGUCCGUAGGCGGUCUUGUAAGUCAGUGGUGAAAGCCCAUCGCUCAACGGUGGAACGGCCAUUGAUACUGCAGGACUUGAAUUAUUGGGAAGUAACUAGAAUAUGUAGUGUAGCGGUGAAAUGCUUAGAGAUUACAUGGAAUACCAAUUGCGAAGGCAGGUUACUACCAAUUGAUUGACGCUGAUUGACGAAAGCGUGGGUAGCGAACAGGAUUAGAUACCCCCGUAGUCCCUGUCUCUUAUAC
Molecule: ribosomal RNA, 301 nt
Filed under: uncultured bacterium
Lineage: Bacteria
Description: partial 16S ribosomal RNA
Rfam family: Bacterial small subunit ribosomal RNA
Source: RNAcentral